AAUCAACGCUGGCGGCGUGCCUCAGACAUGCAAGUCGAACGAUUAAAGCUCUCUUCGGAGAGUGUAUAGAGUGGCGCACGGGUGAGUAACACGUAAGUAAUCUACCUUCGAGUGGGGAAUAACGUCCGGAAACGGACGCUAAUACCGCAUAAUGCAGCGGCAUCGCAAGAUGACAGUUGUUAAAGAUUUAUCGCUUGAAGAGGAGCUUGCGGCAGAUUAGCUAGUUGGUAAGGUAACGGCUUACCAAGGCUACGAUCUGUAUCCGGUCUAAGAGGACGGUCGGACACACUGACACUGAAUAACGGGUCAGACUCCUACGGGAGGCAGCAGUCGGGAAUUUUGGGCAAUGGGCGAAAGCCUGACCCAGCAACGCCGCGUGAAGGAUGAAGUAUUUCGGUAUGUAAACUUCGAAAGAAUAGGAAGAAUUAAUGACGGUACUAUUUAUAAGGUCCGGCUAACUACGUGCCAGCCGCCGCCGU
This 479-nucleotide ribosomal RNA is filed under the name uncultured bacterium. RNAcentral's name for it is "bacterial SSU rRNA". It matches the Rfam family "Bacterial small subunit ribosomal RNA", at positions 32 to 521 of the family's 1533-position model. The record is from RNAcentral.